UACGUAGGUGGCAAGCGUUGUCCGGAUUUACUGGGCGUAAAGAGCGCGCAGGCGGUCGUUCAAGUCGCGUGUGAAAGCCCCCGGCUCAACUGGGGAGGGUCACGCGAUACUGAUCGACUCGAAGGCAGGAGAGGGUAGUGGAAUUCCCGGUGUAGUGGUGAAAUGCGUAGAUAUCGGGAGGAACACCAAUGGCGAAGGCAGCUUGCUGGGACGGUACUGACGCUGAGGCGGCGAAAGCGUGGGGAGCAAACAGGG
Molecule: ribosomal RNA, 255 nt
Filed under: uncultured bacterium
Lineage: Bacteria
Description: partial 16S ribosomal RNA
Rfam family: Bacterial small subunit ribosomal RNA
Source: RNAcentral